This 64-nucleotide transfer RNA is filed under the name Diamesus osculans. RNAcentral describes it as "tRNA-Ile". The record is from RNAcentral. Lineage: Eukaryota; Metazoa; Arthropoda; Insecta; Coleoptera; Silphidae.
AAUGGAGUGCCUGAUUAAAGGGUUAUUUUGAUAGAAUAAAUUAUGCAAGAUUUUGCCUUCAUUA